RNAcentral lists this long non-coding RNA (929 nucleotides) under Phasianus colchicus (ring-necked pheasant). Its description in RNAcentral is "lncRNA (ENSPCLG00000007805.1)". The record is from RNAcentral. Lineage: Eukaryota; Metazoa; Chordata; Aves; Galliformes; Phasianidae.
CUUUUUCACAGAUAAAAUAUGGACUUUCCAUAGGAAAAAAAAAAAUCAGUAGUUAUAGAAGUGAGCUCAUAAAAUAACAAAAAUAUGCACAUAUGAUUAUGCAUACAAACAAAAUAUGAUGAUUAAAUGACCUGUUAGAAAUUUGAUUUACUCAUCAACAAUGUAUCAACCAUUCUUUGCUUGUCAUUUAUAGAAGAUCUGUCACCUUAGAAGCUGACAAAAAAACCGGCAACUUUCAGCAAAAAUAAGGUGCCGAUGAGAGAAAGAAUUACAGAUAUUCAUGUCAAGACAACGUCUGAUAUGUGGUCCAAGAACUAUGUCAGAAGUUAACUCCAGAUUUCAAGAAGAGCAAAAACUGUUCAGUUGCUGAUGUUGGAGGAAUUCAGUCCAUCGUGUGCAGGACACUGUAAGAAGGUGUAUGUAACAAGAAGUGUUGGGAAAGAUUCAGUGCUUCUGCGGGGGUCCAGCGGCAAAUGGAAAUUGCCAUCAAUCACUGAACACCUUCCAGCAACUCAGCAAAUGAAGAUAGAAUACAGAUCAGUCAAAAUCUGUUCUCUGUGUUUGACACAAUUCAGCACGAGGACACUUCAUCUUCACUUGUGUAGAGGUGACACAAAUUAUUUUGUCACUUCUGAUAGCUGCAGUGUGUGGAGAGCAAAGGAGAGAAUUUCAUGGGCAGCAUUUGGUGGGGGAGAUUCACACUUAGCCUGACAGAAGGCCACACUACCCUGAGUACCACUCAUGUCCAAAAUCCUUCUGUCUUGCUGCGAUGCCCAACUGCUUCAGAGCAGUACUCCAACUACUUGCAGAUAAAAAAUAGAUGUUUUCCUAAUUUCGUUUCUCCUGGUUAAUUUAGAGGGAAAAAAAUAUAUAUAUUUUUUUCAGUAAAGCCUUUGACCAGAAUUCCAGUCAUUCCAGACAAACUCGAU